GAUGAACGCUGGCGGCGUGCUUAACACAUGCAAGUCGAACGGAAAGGCUCCUGCUUGCAGGGGUACUCGAGUGGCGAACGGGUGAGUAACACGUGGGUGAUCUGCCCUGCACUUCGGGAUAAGCCUGGGAAACUGGGUCUAAUACCGGAUAGGACGAUGGUUUGGAUGCCAUUGUGGAAAGUUUUUCGGUGUGGGAUGAGCUCGCGGCUUAUCAGCUUGUUGGUGGGGUAAUGGCCUACCAAGGCGUCGACGGGUAGCCGGCCUGAGAGGGUGUACGGCCACAUUGGGACUGAGAUACGGCCCAGACUCCUACGGGAGGCAGCAGUGGGGAAUAUUGCACAAUGGGCGCAAGCCUGAUGCAGCGACGCCGCGUGGGGGAUGACGGCCUUCGGGUUGUAAACUCCUUUCGUCAGGGACGAAGCGAAAGUGACGGUACCUGGAUAAGAAGCACCGGCUAACUACGUG
Molecule: ribosomal RNA, 465 nt
Filed under: uncultured bacterium
Lineage: Bacteria
Description: partial 16S ribosomal RNA
Rfam family: Bacterial small subunit ribosomal RNA
Source: RNAcentral